GAUGAACGCUGGCGGCGUGCCUAAUACAUGCAAGUCGAGCGAACAGACGAGGAGCUUGCUCCUCUGACGUUAGCGGCGGACGGGUGAGUAAAACGUGGAUAAACUACCUAUAAGACUGGGAUAAAUUCGGGAAACCGGAGCUAAUACCGGAUAAUAUAUUGAACCGCAUGGUUCAAUAGUGAAAGACGGUUUUGCUGUCACUUAUAGAUGGAUCCGCGCCGCAUUAGCUAGUUGGUAAGGUAACGGCUUACCAAGGCGACGAUGCGUAGCCGACCUGAGAGGGUGAUCGGCCACACUGGAACUGAGACACGGUCCAGACUCCUACGGGAGGCAGCAGUAGGGAAUCUUCCGCAAUGGGCGAAAGCCUGACGGAGCAACGCCGCGUGAGUGAUGAAGGUCUUCGGAUCGUAAAACUCUGUUAUUAGGGAAGAACAAAUGUGUAAGUAACUAUGCACGUCUUGACGGUACCUAAUCAGAAAGCCACGGCUAACUACGUG
This 497-nucleotide ribosomal RNA is filed under the name uncultured bacterium. RNAcentral describes it as "partial 16S ribosomal RNA". It matches the Rfam family "Bacterial small subunit ribosomal RNA", at positions 28 to 507 of the family's 1533-position model. The record is from RNAcentral.